GACGAACGCUGUCGGCGCGCCUAACACAUGCAAGUCGAACGGAGUUGCUGAAGCUGAAUUUUUCGGAAGGACGCAUUAGUAACUUAGUGGCGGACGGGUGAGUAACGCGUGAGUAACCUGCCUUUCAGAGGGGGAUAACGUUUGGAAACGAACGCUAAUGCCGCAUAACAUAACGAGGUCGCAUGGCUUUGUUAUCAAAGGAGCAAUACGCGGGAAGAUGGACUCGCGUCCAAUUAGCUAGUUGGUGAGGUAAAGGCCCACCAAGGCGACGAUUGGUAGCCGGACUGAGAGGUUGAACGGCCACAUUGGGACUGAGACACGGCCCAGACUCCUACGGGAGGCAGCAGUGGGGAAUAUUGCACAAUGGGCGCAAGCCUGAUGCAGCCAUGCCGCGUGUGUGAAGAAGGCCUUAGGGUUGUAAAGCACUUUCAGCGGGGAGGAAGGGUAUAGGCUUAAUACGCUUAUACAUUGACGUUACCCGCAGAAGAAGCACCGGCUAACUCCGUGCCAGCCGCCGCAGUAACAC
RNAcentral lists this ribosomal RNA (526 nucleotides) under uncultured bacterium. RNAcentral's name for it is "bacterial SSU rRNA". It matches the Rfam family "Bacterial small subunit ribosomal RNA", at positions 28 to 526 of the family's 1533-position model. The record is from RNAcentral.